This 1376-nucleotide long non-coding RNA is filed under the name Toxoplasma gondii VEG. Lineage: Eukaryota; Apicomplexa; Conoidasida; Eucoccidiorida; Sarcocystidae. The record is from RNAcentral.
AAGAGGAGCAACUACGCCGCACAAAGGAAAGCGGAGAAUCAGGUCCACACGCAACUCAGUGUGAGAAGAGAACAAAGAGCGUCUACGACAGUGUUUUUUUUUCGUUCCCUUUCGCCUAGCUUGAAACAAAUGUCCACCCCGUGAGAGACCUUGCGUGCCUCACCGAGGACUCCGUAGAGUUCAUUGGUGCUUUGCGCCUUGGGAUUCAUAACAAACAAUUUGACAACUCUAUCGAAAGCCGCCUUCUGCGCAGCGGCGAGCGUGUGGAUAAUCACCGUUUUGCCGCCGCCUGUCGGACCCACGAGCAUCGUCGCAUGUCGGCUCUCCAUCGUUUCAUACAGUUGAAUCACCUUGUUCACUUGCAGAUCGAACAAGUCCGCGUAUUUGGAGCGAAAUCCCUUGGAAGUGAGUUCCUGGCAGGAACCGGAAGCAGAAAGAACCGCCAAGUGGAGCCGGUCCGCCAGUAUAGGGCAAACGGGAAAGACCGGGAGCCAAACACAGGAACUGCGACAAGAAGUGGAUGGGCAGAUGUGCGGUGACGUGACUCCCUCGCACUCGAACCAGCCGGGAUGCAGAGAGACAACCAGAACGAUCGAGGCAGGCAGACACAGUCGACGAGAGACGCAGAAGAAGAAAGGAAAGACGAAGAAGAAGGACGAGAAGGAGAAAGGAAAAGAAAAGAAGAAGUGGGUACGUGUAGGUCACCACGGAGCGAGAAAGAUAUCAUCUCGAACACCAGACGUGGACCACCAUGAGACGUACAGUACCGAUGUGAAGAAUAAAACAACUUCCACGUAUGUCCAAGAACCAAGGCGAUGGCUUCAUCUACUUCUUUGUGUGUCUAUGCGUUAGUGUGUGACUCUUGUGUUGCCGACGCAACUGUUUUGCUCUCCAGAGCCGCCCCGCAAAUCGCCCCAGAAACGCAGCUCAUCCGUUCAAGCAACUCGUAGGGAAGGUUCGCUGUCUGAUGAACCUCUUCGCUCGGUUUCUCGCUCCACGAAUUGGCGGGCAUUUUAGAUCUCACCUCCUCGACUGCCUGCUUCAGCUGGCUGUUUCCGCCCUGCGGACACUCGAGGCCGGGGAAGAGGUCUCCGAGGAGGCCGAGGAAGAGCGGGACGUCUUGUUUGACGAGCUUCGGAAUGUUCAUGUCGCGCAGAGCUCGCAUGAGGAUCACUUCUUCUGGCAACUCGGGACUCGCGCUCCGAAACGCGCCGGCCGUGACGAGAGCCGCCUUCAAGGCGCGAAGGGCGAAGUCGUAAAAGUGCUGAAAGAAAACUCCAGAACCGCUGCUUUGUUGGGGUAUGUGUCUUGGCGUUUCAGAGAAAUCGCGCGAACCAUGUAUAACGUAUUCGAUUCAUCGAACAACAGAGAAGCCU